RNAcentral lists this transfer RNA (75 nucleotides) under Butyrivibrio proteoclasticus. RNAcentral's name for it is "tRNA_Ile_TAT". It matches the Rfam family "tRNA". From Rfam's summary of the family: Transfer RNA (tRNA) molecules are approximately 80 nucleotides in length. Their secondary structure includes four short double-helical elements and three loops (D, anti-codon, and T loops). The record is from RNAcentral. Lineage: Bacteria; Bacillati; Bacillota; Clostridia; Lachnospirales; Lachnospiraceae.
UGGGCAAUAGUUCAAUGGUGAGAGCGGGUGUCUUAUACACAUCUGAUCCGAGUUCGAUUCUCGGUUGCCCUAUCA